RNAcentral lists this ribosomal RNA (496 nucleotides) under uncultured bacterium. RNAcentral's name for it is "partial 16S ribosomal RNA". It matches the Rfam family "Bacterial small subunit ribosomal RNA", at positions 28 to 506 of the family's 1533-position model. The record is from RNAcentral.
GAUGAACGCUGGCGGCGUGCCUAAUACAUGCAAGUCGAGCGAACGGACGAGAAGCUUGCUUCUCUGAUGUUAGCGGCGGACGGGUGAGUAACACGUGGAUAACCUACCUAUAAGACUGGGAUAACUUCGGGAAACCGUAGCUAAUACCGGAUAAUAUUUUGAACCGCAUGGUUCAAAAGUGAAAGACGGUCUUGCUGUCACUUAUAGAUGGAUCCGCGCUGCAUUAGCUAGUUGGUAAGGUAACGGCUUACCAAGGCAACGAUGCAUAGCCGACCUGAGAGGGUGAUCGGCCACACUGGAACUGUGACACGGUCCAGACUCCUACGGGAGGCAGCAGUAGGGAAUCUUCCGCAAUGGGCGAAAGCCUGACGGAGCAACGCCGCGUGAGUGAUGAAGGUCUUCGGAUCGUAAAACUCUAUUAUUAGGGAAGAACAUAUGUGUAAGUAACUGUGCACAUCUUGACGGUACCUAAUCAGAAAGCCACGGCUAACUACGU